UUCACGUUCAGCGCCUUCAGUCCGGCGGCCGGCCGUGCCGUCAGCUGACCUGUUGUCUAAACCUCCUGCCCGUUGUUCGACUUUGCUCGACGAUAUGACCAGUAUCACAUUGCUUUGUCCAUCUCAAAUUUCCUGGAUGAUAUGUACUGAUAAGGAGAGACAACCCUCAAUGAGUGAUUGCAGACUUCCAGUUUUUGUCAUCCACUUGGAAAGGGUAAUGACCUGUCAGAUGGGGGUGAGGGCAGUGGAUCUCCAAUUUUACAGGGGGGUAUCAGUUUUUGGUUGCUCCCAGUUGUUUUCAUGGAUCUUGGAUUACUGCAGCAGAGUAUGGAUGUAGAUGUUAGUCACUGGUAUUCUACACUUUAUCAAAAAAUUACCUAGUAUGGUAAUUUUAUAUAAUAAUAUUUACUGUAACAUAAUGAUUUCUCUUGCUGAACUUAUAAGGAAUAGGACAACAUGAAAACUUGACUGUUACCUGAUAAUGGUGUAUUCAAAAUCUUGUUUCUGUGUAAUUUAAUAGCAUGUAAAGGUUAUAUUUUAGCCACUUAUCUGAACUGUUUAAAUAUGAUAAAGAUUCACUGAUAGCGGUGACUACAUUUGAUAUGUAUUAUAUUUGUUAGUAGGACACAUCUGCUAGUUUUAGCUAGGAAACCAAUUAUUCAUAUCAAGUGAACCAUGUAGCCAUAUCUUGUUACUCCCUGACUUUUGAAUUAUUUAUUGUUCAUAAUUGAACAUACUGUACAGGUAGUGUUCAAGUUAGAUCAUUCGUCUUACGAUAAUCCGAUUUUACGAUGGGUUAGCAAUUAAUAUUCUUAUGACAAUAUUUUGAAAAUAUUUUUAAAUUUUCCUUGUAAUGGGUGCAAGGCAGCAGCGUACCUACAAUCAGGGCGCGAGAGAGACCAAAUUACAAUUGCCUAAUUUUAUCUCAUCUUAUAGUUAACUUUAUCCCAUCUUCUAGUUAAGUAAGUUAAAAAAAAAAAAAAAAGAGAAUGAUGAAAUAUUGUUUUAAUGUUAUACUUGUUGCGUAAAUGUGUACAGCCAUGAACAACGGGAAACGUUUUACUAAGUAUAACUGAAUUAGAUAACUAACCUUAAAUAUGAUGUAAAUGACGUUAUGUAGAAUAGGACUGAUAUAUUUUUAUGUAAUAAGCUGAGAACACUUCGAGCUGUUAAUGACUAUAAAUGUGCAUUGGCAACAAGGAUAAAACCGUAAACUUAGGCCAUCAAAAACAACUGUAGAUACACUUGAAAGAAUACAUUUUACUGUUCCUUUCGCGCCGACAAAAGGUAAAUAACGUAACUGUAAGCUCAUAUUACGAUGAAAUGAAGUGAAAAUAGUGAACGGAAUCACAACAUUUUUUUUACACAAACAUGCCCACAAUGCAAUCUGUUAACGAAAAAAAAUAAUUUGGUUCAUAAGACGUAUUAAAUUCAUUUCAACUUGAAAACACGUUGUAAAUAUAAUAAGUAAAGUAUCUAGAUAUUUUAUGCUAACUAGAAGCAAGGUAACUUGCUCCGAAUUGAGUUAAAUACGGCAAUACAAAGUCGUAUUCGCCAUCAGCGGAUUUCCAAACCAAAACAUUGACUGCUUUGUUAGUAUUUUAUGAUACAAUAUGAGAAUACAUACAAUAUUAUUGGGUACAGUAAUGUAUAACUUUUUAAAAGAUUCACGGAAAAGAUGCAUAUUCGUUGUGUUUUUAUUUCAUGAAUAUACGUAGCCAUCAGAAGCCUGACAUUGCUCAAUUAUGGCGAUGUCGGUCAAAAUCUGAUAACCUUUUCGUGUCCAAUUUAUUUUUUCUGCUGAUAUAUCAUUAUGAUGUCAGAAUGCAUUGAACCUCCAGUAUUAGCUUAUAUUAACUCUUAAACACCGAUUGGACGCAUUAUACAUCGACAUAAAUUGUCUGUUGGGUGCCGAUUGGACGUAUAGUACGUCUAUAUAAAAAGUUUUUUUAAAAAUUCGUGGAAAAAUACUUAUAGGCCUACCAGGCAAAAACUUUUGAAUCACGCGCCUUGGGGGAUGCUGGGAGCUCACGGAUCAAGCUGUUGUUUUGUUUACAAUCGUUACCCAGACGCGCAAGCGCGGAUUUCUUUCUUCUCGCACUAAAAAAACAUCAGCGACACAUCUCAGAAAUUAUUUUGUCACUCUGACAUAAUUUUUGUACCCUUUUAUAUUAGCUGUUACAUGGCGUAUUAUAUAUGAAAAUGUGUGCAAUUUUAUGUAGAAUACAACAAAAAACAAUCCAUGGUUGUAGCUUUUAUCAGUUUUGAAAUAUUUUCACAUAAGUAACGAUAAGUGCCAAAAUUUCAACCUUCGAUCAACUUUGACUCGACCGAAAUGGUAGAAAAACGCAAUUGUAAGCUAAAACUCUUAUAUUCUAGUAAUAUUCAAUCAUUUACCUUUAUUUUGCAACAAAUUGGAAUUCUCUAGCACAAUAUUUCAAUUUACGGUGAAUUUAUGAAAAAAAAACUUUUUCCUUACGUCGGCGCAGUAACUCUUCCGAAAAAAAAUCAUAAAUUUUUUAGUCCGAUUCUCGUAAUGUUUGCACCAUUUUAAAUUAGCCGUUACAUAAAGUUUUAUAUAUGAAAAUGUGUGCAAUUUUAUGUAGAAUACAAAAAAAAAUAAUUGAAGGGUGCAGCUUUUCUCAUUUUCGAAAUAUUUGCAUAUAAAUCACGAUAAAUAGAAAAAAAACCAUGUUCGGUCAACUUUGACUCUACCGAAAUGGUCGAAAAACGCAAUUGUAAGCUAAAACUCUUACAGUCUAGUAAUAUUCAGUCAUUUAUCUUAAUUUGAAACAAAUUCGAAGUAUCUAGCACAAUAUUUAGAUUUAUGGUGAAUUUAAAAAAAAAAACUUAACUUCCCUCCGCGCACGGAUUCUCCGCCGCAAAUCUCCGAAAUGCGUACGUCGCACUCUCGUAAUAUUUGCUCCAUUUCAUAUAAGGCGUUUCAUAGAGUUUUAUACAUGAAAAUGUGCGCAAUUUUAUGUAGAAUACAACAAAAAAUAAUUGAAGGUUGUAGCUUUUCUCAUUUUUGAAAUAUUUGCAUAUAAAAAAAAUAUAAAAAAAUUCAACACAUGGUCAAAUUUAACUUGUCCGAAAUGGUCGAAAACUGCAAUUGUAAGCUAAAACUCUUACAGUAUAGUAAUAUUCAAUCAUUUAUCUUAAUUUUGAAACAAAUUGGAAGUGUCUAGAACAAUAUUUCUAUUUAUGGUGAAUUUUUGAAAAAAAACUUUUUUUAUGUCCGCGUGUUACGAAUUCAUGCAUUAUUUUGUGAUGAUAUUUUCUCUGUGUUGCUUUGAUCGCUUUACAAUGUGUUAUAUAUAUACCAAAAUGAUCGCAAUUUAGUGUACAAUACAAAAAAAAAAAAUUAACUCGUUAGCUUUAACCGUUUUGCUCACAGCGCGAUUUAAAUACAAUCAUAUAGGAAAUUUUGUUUUUGUGCUAUCAUAUAUCGCAUUAUUUAUAUAUGAUAAUGAUAUUUUUUUCAUUUCUGAUGAUUGCAUACUAAACUUCAGGCAAUGACAAAAAAAGGAGCCAAAAAUGAACUCUUAAUCUUGAAAACUAAGCGCCCUGUGAUUUUUUGAAAAAAAUAUUUUUUCCGCUUCGGCGCUCACUUUGAGACCCCCCCAGCAUACGGGAGACAAUUUUUAUUAUACCCCUUCAGCGUUAAAGGGUUAAUAAAUUACUAAAUUGUAAACAUAAUAUACGUACAGUAGGGCUAGACUAUUGUAUUUGGUUGUAUACAAUAUACCAUAUCAUCAUCAUAACCCUAGGCUAACUUGUUAAUGUUAUUCAAUUUCUCUCUGUACUGAAUUAUCAUAAGCCAAUAUGUAUUGAACUUAGAGAAUUAGCUGAAAUUAAUAAUUACUAUGCCAUAUAUGUAUAAAAUAUACUGUGUAAUGUAGGCUAGGCUACCCUAUAUGUAAAGAUGGUACUGAUUACCCUAGUGUAGGCUAGGCUGUAUUCAAGAUAUGAUUUAUCCAACAAACAAUGGUUUUUUUGGAACCUAACCCCAUCUUAAGUAGGAGAAUACCUGUAUGCAGGCAAUUUGUGGCAUGAUGGCUGUUCAUAUACGGACAUCUCAUACCUAUGCAAGUUCCAGCUUGCGCUGAUAUUGUUACUUAAGUAAUAGUAACAAAUGUGAAUACAGGCAAUCCCCGUUUAUCGGUGGGGGUUCUGUUCUUGAUGGCAUGACGAUAACCAAGACUGCACCGCCAAUAACCAGGGAUUGGACCCAAAAAUUCAGUAUUUUCGUCACUACUCAAGCGCCAUAAGACCUGGUUGCCGAUAA
This is a long non-coding RNA of Macrobrachium nipponense, 4288 nucleotides long. RefSeq lists it as uncharacterized. The record is from RefSeq and is a predicted model, not a curated record. Lineage: Eukaryota; Metazoa; Arthropoda; Malacostraca; Decapoda; Palaemonidae. The transcript is spliced from 4 exons.